RNAcentral lists this ribosomal RNA (254 nucleotides) under uncultured bacterium. RNAcentral's name for it is "partial 16S ribosomal RNA". It matches the Rfam family "Bacterial small subunit ribosomal RNA", at positions 524 to 777 of the family's 1533-position model. The record is from RNAcentral.
UACGGAGGGAGCUAGCGUUGUUCGGAUAUACUGGGCGUAAAGCGCACGUAGGCGGCGCAGCAAGUCAGGGGUGAAAUCCCGGAGCUCAACUCCGGAACUGCCUUUGAAACUGCAGUGCUAGAAUCCUGGAGAGGCGAGUGGAGUUCCGAGUGUAGAGGUGAAAUUCGUAGAUAUUCGGAAGAACACCAGUGGCGAAGGCGACUCGCUGGACAGGUAUUGACGCUGAGGUGCGAAAGCGUGGGGAGCAAACAGGG